This 351-nucleotide ribosomal RNA is filed under the name uncultured bacterium. RNAcentral's name for it is "bacterial SSU rRNA". It matches the Rfam family "Bacterial small subunit ribosomal RNA", at positions 28 to 377 of the family's 1533-position model. The record is from RNAcentral.
GACGAACGCUGGCGGCGUGCUUAAUACAUGCAAGUCAACUGAACUUAAGGUAGUAAUAUCUUAAGAGAGGUGGCGCACGGGUGAGUAACACGUAGGUAAUCUGCCUUUAGGUCUGACAUAACCUAUCGAAAGGUAGGCUAAUAUCAGAUGAUGCAGCGGCUCGACAUCGAGACAGUUGUUAAACCUUCGGGGCCUAAAGAUGAGCCUGCGUCUGAUUAGGAGUUGGCGGAGUAAAAGCCCACCAAGCCUGCGAUCAGUAGCUGGUCUGAGAGGAUGAUCAGCCACACUGGAACUGAGACACGGUCCAGACUCCUACGGGAGGCAGCAGUAAGGAAUAUUGCUCAAUGGCCG